Molecule: ribosomal RNA, 692 nt
Filed under: uncultured Mesorhizobium sp.
Lineage: Bacteria; Pseudomonadati; Pseudomonadota; Alphaproteobacteria; Hyphomicrobiales; Phyllobacteriaceae
Description: bacterial SSU rRNA
Rfam family: Bacterial small subunit ribosomal RNA
Source: RNAcentral
CUGGCUCAGAACGAACGCUGGCGGCAGGCUUAACACAUGCAAGUCGAGCGCCCCGCAAGGGGAGCGGCAGACGGGUGAGUAACGCGUGGGAAUCUACCCAUCUCUACGGAACAACUCCGGGAAACUGGAGCUAAUACCGUAUACGUCCUUUUGGAGAAAGAUUUAUCGGAGAUGGAUGAGCCCGCGUUGGAUUAGCUAGUUGGUGGGGUAAAGGCCUACCAAGGCGACGAUCCAUAGCUGGUCUGAGAGGAUGAUCAGCCACACUGGGACUGAGACACGGCCCAGACUCCUACGGGAGGCAGCAGUGGGGAAUAUUGGACAAUGGGCGCAAGCCUGAUCCAGCCAUGCCGCGUGAGUGAUGAAGGCCCUAGGGUUGUAAAGCUCUUUCAACGGUGAAGAUAAUGACGGUAACCGUAGAAGAAGCCCCGGCUAACUUCGUGCCAGCAGCCGCGGUAAUACGAAGGGGGCUAGCGUUGUUCGGAAUUACUGGGCGUAAAGCGCACGUAGGCGGAUUGUUAAGUUAGGGGUGAAAUCCCAGGGCUCAACCCUGGAACUGCCUUUAAUACUGGCAAUCUAGAGUCCGAGAGAGGUGAGUGGAAUUCCGAGUGUAGAGGUGAAAUUCGUAGAUAUUCUGGAGGAACACCAGUGGCGAAGGCGGCUCACUGGCUCGGUACUGACGCUGAGGUGCGAAA